CUCAUUAAUUUUUCCAUUUAUUGAAAAAAUGAAAAUUAUGAAAAUUUGUUAUUUUGAACAAAGAAAAAUGGACUUAGUAUUUAUAAAGCUGAUGAAAUUUCCUGUCGAAUGAGUACCCACAUCGAUAUGAUAAAUGAAUCUUCUCAGGAGAUUGCUGAUGAAAUUCUGCGUUCAUUGAGUACCCACAUCAAUAUAUUUAGAAUAAGUGAAUAUUCAUAUGUAUGUAUAUAUUUAUAUAUACACAUAUUUUUGAUAGAAAGCAAAUAUAUCGAUGUGCGUACUCAAACUUCAUAAAAUCACCUCACCAAUUCAGCUGUCAACAUCAAAAUUCAUUUUGAAUCAUUCUAUAAAUUAUGUGAUCUAUAAAAAAUUUUUUCCAAUUUUUUUUUUUUUUUUU
Molecule: long non-coding RNA, 397 nt
Organism: Microplitis demolitor
Lineage: Eukaryota; Metazoa; Arthropoda; Insecta; Hymenoptera; Braconidae
Exons: 2
Source: RefSeq, a predicted model, not a curated record